UACGGAGGGUGCGAGCGUUGUCCGGAAUCACUGGGCGUAAAGGGCGCGUAGGUGGCUUGGCAAGCGUGUGGUGAAAGCCCGGGGCUCAACCCUGGGUCUGCCGUGCGAACUGCUAUGGCUUGAGCACUGUAGAGGCAGGUAGAAUUCCGGGUGUAGCGGUGGAAUGCGUAGAUAUUGACCGGAAGGCCGGAGCCGAAGGGGCCCCAUUGGUACGCAACUGACGCUGAGGCACGAAAGCGUGGGGAGCAAACAGG
RNAcentral lists this ribosomal RNA (254 nucleotides) under uncultured bacterium. Its description in RNAcentral is "partial 16S ribosomal RNA". It matches the Rfam family "Bacterial small subunit ribosomal RNA", at positions 524 to 776 of the family's 1533-position model. The record is from RNAcentral.